AGAAGACUGAGGGAAGAGUGGGGGAGAGAAGGUCAGCUAGCAAAGGAAACCUGGGAACUGAACCCGAACCUAUAGAAGAGAAAGAAGGACUUUUAACCACGAGUGAGCUCUCCAGUUUCGAUAUAUACUGUGGACGGGGACACAAACAGUAGAGGCCCAAUUUCUAGCUCUUAUCCCAAAGAGUCUAGUUUUAAAUUAAAUGACUUCCUGGUAGGAGGAAUGUGUAGGCAUGAGGGAAGGUAUACAAGGAACACUCGCCAAUGAGGGGAAAGUCCUUAGUAUUACAGUGACAUAUCAGGAGAGAACUGUCAUUUAAAAACUGAAUGUAAGUUAGCGUGUGUGGCUUUGGUCAUGUUAUUUUGUCACAGCCGUAGUAACCUAAGACAAUACUAUUGUUGAGGUAUUGAUGCCAGUUAAUGAAUAACAGAUGAAUAAAUUUUAAAUUAGGGUAAUUGGGUGCUUUCAGUUGUACAUGGUUAGCUAGUAUUAGUGUUCUUAAGUCUGCAUAAUCAUUUUCAGAAUUCACAGGCAAGGACAGGUGGUUGCCAUUUGUAUGUCCUGUGCCCAUCCCCAAUCUUGCGCUUUCAAAAGGAGGACCUUCAGUAUAAUGAGUCACCGCACCUCACAACUGAUGUCAGCAUUAAGGAAGGGCGUGGUUUUGUUGGAAGUUACAUUCUACAGCUGCAGGUUUCUCAGUUCUCAGUUCUCACGCUAGCUUCUGGGGUCCGUGGUAGGAGUGCUUGGAGUCACUCACAGGGAGCGCUCCUGCGGGGACCCGGCCGGGUGGAAAUCCUGCACUCGGGAGCCAGUGAGACGCGCGGCACACACCAUGGAACGAGCCGGCCCCAGCUCGGAACGGCCGAGGCAGCAGCGGGACCAGGACUGGGUGGAAGCGUGGCUGGAUGAUCACCGGGACUUUACCUUCUCUUACUUUGUUAGAAAAGCCACCAGGUAAGAAGAGGAGCCACAAAGGACGCGGCCAGGGACAUGGAGCGUGACCUAGGGCUGAUCUUUCUUCCCCCAUUGAAUUGUCCCCUUGGUUCAACAUUCAACAAUCCCUGUCCCCAGGCCCUUUGCUUCUGAAGUAGCUUCUCCGUCCCAGAUCGGACUGGAGUCCUGGACUUAAAGCGAGCACCCUUGAAAACAGGCGUCGGAUUAGAUACGACUUGCCCACUAAGUUAAAAACAAAAAUGUAUACCCGGCCCGGGAGCAAGAUUACUUUCACACACGCUCACGGGCCUCUCCCCUCAUCCCCCAGCCCCCUCUCAUUUUCUCCCUAAACCAGUUUAGCAAAACCAAAACAAGCCCCCUUUCCCAGCGGCUC
This 1324-nucleotide long non-coding RNA is filed under the name Cricetulus griseus (Chinese hamster). RNAcentral describes it as "lncRNA (ENSCGRG00000024717.1)". The record is from RNAcentral. Lineage: Eukaryota; Metazoa; Chordata; Mammalia; Rodentia; Cricetidae.